Molecule: ribosomal RNA, 892 nt
Filed under: Echinoderma flavidoasperum
Lineage: Eukaryota; Fungi; Basidiomycota; Agaricomycetes; Agaricales; Agaricaceae
Description: partial large subunit ribosomal RNA
Rfam family: Eukaryotic large subunit ribosomal RNA
Source: RNAcentral
UAGUAACUGCGAGUGAAGCGGGAAAAGCUCAAAUUUGAAAUCUGGCGGUCCUUGGCCGUCCGAGUUGUAAUCUAGAGAAGUGUUACCCGCGCUGGACCGUGUACAAGUCUCCUGGAAUGGAGCGUCAUAGAGGGUGAGAAUCCCGUCUCUGACACGGACUCCCAGGGCUUUGUGGUACGCUCUCAAAGAGUCGAGUUGUUUGGGAAUGCAGCUCAAAAUGGGUGGUAAAUUCCAUCUAAAGCUAAAUAUUGGCGAGAGACCGAUAGCGAACAAGUACCGUGAGGGAAAGAUGAAAAGAACUUUGGAAAGAGAGUUAAACAGUACGUGAAAUUGCUGAAAGGGAAACGCUUGAAGUCAGUCGCGUUGGCCGGGGAUCAGCCUCGCAUUUGCGUGGUGCACUUUCCGGUUGACGGGUCAGCAUCAAUUUCGGCCACUGGAAAAAGUCCUGAGGAAUGUGGCAGCUCCGGCUGUGUUAUAACCUCUGGUCGCAUACAGUGGUUGGGAUUGAGGAACUCAGCACGCCGCAAGGCCGGGUUUCGACCACGUCCGUGCUUAGGAUGCUGGCAUAAUGGCUUUAAGCGACCCGUCUUGAAACACGGACCAAGGAGUCUAACAUGCCUGCGAGUGUUUGGGUGGAAAACCCGAGCGCGCAAUGAAAGUGAAAGUUGAGAUCCCUGUCGUGGGGAGCAUCGACGCCCGGACCAGAACUUUUGGGACGGAUCCGCGGUAGAGCAUGUAUGUUGGGACCCGAAAGAUGGUGAACUAUGCCUGAAUAGGGUGAAGCCAGAGGAAACUCUGGUGGAGGCUCGUAGCGAUUCUGACGUGCAAAUCGAUCGUCAAAUUUGGGUAUAGGGGCGAAAGACUAAUCGAACCAUCUAGUAGCUGGUUCUGC